CAUCAUAUGCUCUCUCUCUUUUCUCGUCCAAUCCUCGUCGGAGUCGCUCCGACGGCGCUUCAAGCGUGACGACGACGAACGGAGGUCCACGGUUCCUUGUUCAGAAGCAAUCCGAAAGUGAGUUUGUUGAAGAUUUGGUGAAGAUUGAUGUGAGGAUUCCGUGAAUUGAACGUUGUUGAUAGAUUUUUGUUGCUGUGCUGCGAUGAAGAUGACGAUUGAAGGAUUCGGAGGAGAGAGUUAGAGGUUGCUAUGAGAAUGAGGAAGAAGAUCGUAGAAAUUGAAGAGGUGAUAUUCCGAGAGAGAAAAGAUUGCUAGAUGAAGGGUUGAAGAUUGAAUGGAGAAUUCGGUUAUGGCUGAGAAUGGAAGAUUGUGAGUGGAAGGUUGAAGAAUCGAUGAAGAUGAUGAGAGAAAGAUGAAGAUUCAGAGAGUUUUUGGUUGAAAGUUUGUUACCGGUUUCUUCGUGAAUUUUCUUUUUGUUCUCUCUUUCUGUUAUUGAUUUUUGUGGUGAAUGAAGAUUGAAGCGAUGGUGAGUCCAUGGAGAUUCUGAGGUGAAGAACCGAUGGAGUCAUUAGUGAAUGAUGAAGAUGAUUGGAGAGAGUUUAGAGAAGAUGAAGAAGCCUCAAUGGAGGGAGAGUUGGUUCUGAGAAAAAGAAUUGAACCGAUGCCGUUUUUCUUGAUUCGAAGUCGCAGGGAACUUUAUUGAAGGAUUUGUUCUUUUGGGUCGGUUUAAUUUGAAGUGCAGCAAGGUUUUUAAACUUGAUGCGCAAGUUCGGUUCUUUCUGGAUGCAGGGGUGGUUUUGGGUGGCUGCAGUUUUGAAUUCACAGCUGAUGAAAUUAGGAUCGAGUCACCUUGGUGUUAGAAUCCCUUUGUGUAACUUUAAUUUUUGUAAUCUUUUUUAAUCAGAAUGAAACUAUAAUUUGGGCUUUUUGGAGGACUUGUUGGAAUGUAUG
Molecule: long non-coding RNA, 951 nt
Organism: Vicia villosa (hairy vetch)
Lineage: Eukaryota; Viridiplantae; Streptophyta; Magnoliopsida; Fabales; Fabaceae
Exons: 3
Source: RefSeq, a predicted model, not a curated record